UUUUACGGUGCAUCAGAUCAAUAUUGGUCGUUCACUUUUUUGUUUGGACGGCCUAGAUAUGGAAAUACUACUGCAGAUUUUGGGUAGUAUAUUUUGCGAUCAGGGGCAGUUUUGGUAGUUCCGCAUGCCCCGUAGCCGUCCGUCACGGCCCUGCGCGUCGCCAAGAUGGAGGAGUUCGACAUAUCUCGUAACCACAUCUCGGGCUCCACAUCCAUCUAGUUCCAGCACGGGCUCCUCUUCGGCGAUCCAGAUCAAACGAUGGUGGGUGGGAUCCACGAUUGAUUCUCCUCCUCGUAGGCAGCACACAGCCGCCGGAGAAGCCCGUGGUGAACGAUGUCAUGCCGACCUCCUCGUGGCCAUCCCCAACCUCUCAUAGGGUUGCAAGUCGUUCAUUCAGGAAGACCUCCUCAACAAUUACACUGAGCAGAUGGUCAACUACUGCAGAAUGGCUAUGGACAGUUGUCACGAAGAUGCAUUGGCUACUGCCUACUGCGGCCUUGUUUUGAAGGAGAAGGAUCAACAAAUAUCAGAAUUAGAGACCAAACCAUACUCUCUAGCGUCAGAGCUGCAUACUUCAGGGGAGAAGGCCACGUCGAAUAAGAUAAUGCUCGCCAAGAAAUUACAAGAAGGGAGAUACAGAUGUAUUAUAUACUCAAUACUUUUUUGGUUCGUCAUGAUCAUAUAUGUUGCUAGAAUUUUAAUCCCCACUUUGUAAGACUAGAUGUCAGCUAGAGAAUUUUUUUGUGGGCCUGAGAUCAUUCAUUGUUGAACUAAAUGAACGUAUUGGAUCUUGGCGGUUUUCUUGCUCUUACUGAUUCAUAAUGCGCCGAUGGUCCAAGA
Long non-coding RNA from Triticum aestivum (bread wheat), 840 nucleotides. RefSeq lists it as uncharacterized. The transcript has 2 exons. The record is from RefSeq and is a predicted model, not a curated record. NCBI's taxonomy places the organism in Eukaryota, Viridiplantae, Streptophyta, Magnoliopsida, Poales, Poaceae.